CAAAAUCUAACGUAAAAAAUAUCCCUCGUAUAACUCAAAAAUCAUUCUCAAAAUUUCAAGACAAAUAGAAUUCAAAUGAAGGGGAAAACUUACCUUAAGCUCGUGGGUUCUCCCAUGAUUAACAGUGAGCUUUCACUUUCCUUUCCUUUUCUUUUAUUGGUUUUCUCCUUCUUUCUUCCUUCCUCUCUCUUCUUCUUACAAUUUAGGAAGAUUUUCCUCAAGGAAAAAUUCCAAAUUCCUUUAAUUUCCCUCACCUUUCUUGGGUAUGCACCCUUUUCCUCUCUUUUUUCCUCUU
RNAcentral lists this long non-coding RNA (295 nucleotides) under Carica papaya (papaya). Its description in RNAcentral is "long non-coding RNA (CPAP_LNC002824)". The record is from RNAcentral. Lineage: Eukaryota; Viridiplantae; Streptophyta; Magnoliopsida; Brassicales; Caricaceae.